AGCCUUCUGUAUCCGUGUUGAGAUUUCGUCACACACCAGACCACAAGGGCUGAUGAGACUGCCAUAGAACCUUACGAU
RNAcentral lists this microRNA precursor (78 nucleotides) under Schistosoma margrebowiei. RNAcentral's name for it is "mir-3492 microRNA precursor family". It matches the Rfam family "mir-3492 microRNA precursor family". Lineage: Eukaryota; Metazoa; Platyhelminthes; Trematoda; Strigeidida; Schistosomatidae. The record is from Rfam by way of RNAcentral.